GGGUGGUUAGCGCAGUGGUAGUGCGUAUGCUUUGCACGAUCACAUGAUCUAGGCUGUAUAAGGUCCAGGGUUCAAUCCCCUGACCAUCCA
Molecule: non-coding RNA, 90 nt
Organism: Phlebopus sp. FC_14
Lineage: Eukaryota; Fungi; Basidiomycota; Agaricomycetes; Boletales; Boletinellaceae
Source: the annotation of a GenBank genome assembly